GAGUUUGAUCCUGGCUCAGAAUCAACGCUGGCGGCGUGCCUAACACAUGCAAGUCGAACGCGAAAGGGGCUUCGGCUCUGAGUAGAGUGGCGAACGGGUGAGUAACACGUGGGUGACCUACCUUCGAAUGGGGGAUAACGUCCCGAAAGGGACGCUAAUACCGCAUAACAUCCUGUCUUUGAAGAGAUGGAGAUCAAAGCUGGGGAUCGCAAGACCCGGCGUUUGAAGAGGGGCCCGCGUCCGAUUAGCUAGUUGGUGAGGUAACGGCUCACCAAGUCGACGAUCGGUAGCCGGCCUGAGAGGGCGGACGGCCACACUGGGAGUGAGACACGGCCCAGACUCCUACGGGAGGCAGCAGUGGGGAAUUGUUCGCAAUGGGCGCAAGCCUGACGACGCAACGCCGCGUGGAGGAUGAAGGUCUUCGGAUUGUAAACUCCUGUUGCCCGGGACGAAAUGCUCCGACCUAACACGUCGGAGCUGACGUACCGGUAGAGCCCG
RNAcentral lists this ribosomal RNA (498 nucleotides) under uncultured soil bacterium. RNAcentral describes it as "bacterial SSU rRNA". It matches the Rfam family "Bacterial small subunit ribosomal RNA", at positions 9 to 490 of the family's 1533-position model. The record is from RNAcentral.